This is a non-coding RNA of Podarcis lilfordi (Lilford's wall lizard), 69 nucleotides long. The record is from the annotation of a GenBank genome assembly. Lineage: Eukaryota; Metazoa; Chordata; Lepidosauria; Squamata; Lacertidae.
GGCUAGCCCAGUCGGUACAGCAUGAGACUCUUCAUCUCAAGGUCAUUGGUUCAAGCCCCAUGGUGGACA